RNAcentral lists this ribosomal RNA (241 nucleotides) under uncultured bacterium. RNAcentral describes it as "partial 16S ribosomal RNA". It matches the Rfam family "Bacterial small subunit ribosomal RNA", at positions 524 to 763 of the family's 1533-position model. The record is from RNAcentral.
UACGGAGGGUGCGAGCGUUGUCCGGAAUCAUUGGGCGUAAAGGGCGCGUAGGUGGCCCGGUCAGUUCGUGGUGAAAGCGCGGGGCUCAACCCUGCGUCGGCCAUGAAUACUGCCGCGGCUGGAGCACUGUAGAGGCAGGCGGAAUUCCGGGUGUAGCGGUGGAAUGCGUAGAGAUCCGGAAGAACACCGGUGGCGAAGGCGGCCUGCUGGGCAGUAGCUGACACUGAGGCGCGACAGCGUG